This is a long non-coding RNA of Mya arenaria, 409 nucleotides long. RefSeq lists it as uncharacterized. The transcript has 3 exons. Lineage: Eukaryota; Metazoa; Mollusca; Bivalvia; Myida; Myidae. The record is from RefSeq and is a predicted model, not a curated record.
GAUGAACCAGCCAGACAGCCCACCUGCCACCCCGCCGAGCUGUACUUGGUGUAUGCCAAUAUACCGACAUGCUAAAAUUUGUUAGCACUUCAAGAUCAUAUAAUGGAAAAUUGUAUCCAAACUGAAGUAUAAACCAGCCUGGUUGCUGUAGCCACAGAGGAAUUUUCAAGGACAAGAACCAGUGCUGGUCAAAAUGUGGUCUCGUGUGGUUUUUCAUACCGGUUCUCGGCAAGGAUUUCCGAGAAAGGAAUACCGUCUCCAAAUCAUGAUGUGCCAAUAAGCUCCAGUUAGCUGCGGCUUUUCCACCACCCCCACCCCCCGGCUGUAGUCCUGCAAUCUGAAUCCAGGAGAUGCAGCUCUGAAUCCAAUAUUUCAGAAGAAUGAAGAUGUUAGUCAUUUCUGUAGUACU